AGAGGGAUAAGACAACUGCAAUUCAAUGUAGCAUCAAGACGGGAAGAAAAACACAGCCCUUGAAGAUUCCAAGGAGAAAGAUCUAACUCACUGGAGAAAGAUCAAACUCAUUGUGAUAUCAAAGAAGCCUGAGGAAGGAGGUCGCAUUUGAAAUGGGCUUUGAGUGGCGGAUGAGCAGUGGUUACAGGAAAGGGAAAGGCAUUUCAGAUGGGAACAGCAGCACCAGCAGGAACAUGGAGAUGCAAAAGGCAUCCACUGGGCAUCUUGGAACAUAACCACCGAGGAUAAGGGGGCACUACUUUGUUAGACUCCACAGAUGAACAAGGGUCAGUUGUCCACACUGACCACUGUGGCCAGCCUGGAUCACAUGCCUGCCCUGCAGUGAAAUCAGCAGGACACUGGACUCACCUGGGUCACUUAGGAUGGAAAAGAACUUCUCCAAGUGAACCAGAAGAAGGG
This 459-nucleotide long non-coding RNA is filed under the name Pan troglodytes (chimpanzee). RNAcentral's name for it is "long non-coding RNA NONPTRT013765". The record is from RNAcentral. Lineage: Eukaryota; Metazoa; Chordata; Mammalia; Primates; Hominidae.